UACGAAGGGGGCUAGAGUUGCUCGGAAUCACUGGGCGUAAAGGGUGCGUAGGCGGGUCUUUAAGUCAGGGGUGAAAUCCUGGAGCUCAACUCCAGAACUGCCUUUGAUACUGAGGAUCUUGAGUUCGGGAGAGGUGAGUGGAACUGCGAGUGUAGAGGUGAAAUUCGUAGAUAUUCGCAAGAACACCAGUGGCGAAGGCGGCUCACUGGCCCGAUACUGACGCUGAGGCACGAAAGCGUGGGGAGCAAACAGG
This 253-nucleotide ribosomal RNA is filed under the name uncultured bacterium. RNAcentral's name for it is "partial 16S ribosomal RNA". It matches the Rfam family "Bacterial small subunit ribosomal RNA", at positions 524 to 776 of the family's 1533-position model. The record is from RNAcentral.